Antechinus flavipes (yellow-footed antechinus) is the source of this 781-nucleotide long non-coding RNA. RefSeq lists it as uncharacterized. The transcript is spliced from 2 exons. NCBI's taxonomy places the organism in Eukaryota, Metazoa, Chordata, Mammalia, Dasyuromorphia, Dasyuridae. The record is from RefSeq and is a predicted model, not a curated record.
GGGACAUUCUGACUAUGCAGGCCCCAAGGCCUCCCUGGAUUUUGUCUAAGGCUCUCUGUGCGGAAGGAGUUCCCAUAAUGCUCCCCGACCCCAGCGUGGUCCUGGAUCUCCUUUAGCCGAUGACACAAAGCAUUCAGUGAGUGAGUUCUGACAGACAGCAGUAAUGGUGACUCAGAGAGGCUAAGGCAAGGGGAGGGAAAAGGAAAGGAUUUCACCAGCUGAGGCUCAUGGGCACACCACGGGCCUCCUGUGCUUUGUAAACACUAAGGAGGAGAAAAGAUGAUCUGGAUUCUAAAGCUGCCUCUGACCCACACUGACUAUUUACCACGGGCAAGAUUCCUUAACCUCUCAGUGGGUCACUGGUUGAGGUUUAAAUGUCCAUCAGCAUGGCCAGAGGGCGUUUCCUUACUGAGGAGUUCCCCACACUGAUGAAAUCAUAAGCCUAGACUAAACACCCCCCCCAAACUUCUGAAAAAUUAGUACACAUGGCUCUAGGCCCCCUCACUGCUCUGGACACUGUGACCUGUGCUCUGGAAGAUUCUGCCAUGGAAGUCAACCCUGGAUCAUUGUAUGAAGGUCUUUAGGCAUGGAUUCCAGCUCCCAGCCUCUGGUGGUUCUCCAUUCUGUACUCAAGAAGUUCACAAAGUCGGAGCUGUCUUCAACCUACAGGCAAGAAAGAACUAAGAAUAGAGGCCCUUAUUCACCGGCCACAGAGCUGCCCUGGUGAGGAGAACCCGAGACCUCUCCCUUCCACAGGCUUAUGGUGUAUGUACCAGUCUCA